RNAcentral lists this ribosomal RNA (552 nucleotides) under uncultured beta proteobacterium. Its description in RNAcentral is "bacterial SSU rRNA". It matches the Rfam family "Bacterial small subunit ribosomal RNA", at positions 976 to 1532 of the family's 1533-position model. The record is from RNAcentral. Lineage: Bacteria; Pseudomonadati; Pseudomonadota; Betaproteobacteria.
UACCCUUGACAUGUCUGGAAUCCUGAAGAGAUUUGGGAGUGCUCGAAAGAGAGCCAGAACACAGGUGCUGCAUGGCCGUCGUCAGCUCGUGUCGUGAGAUGUUGGGUUAAGUCCCGCAACGAGCGCAACCCUUGUCAUUAGUUGCUACGAAAGGGCACUCUAAUGAGACUGCCGGCGACAAACCGGAGGAAGGUGGGGAUGACGUCAGGUCCUCAUGGCCCUUAUGGGUAGGGCUACACACGUCAUACAAUGGCCGGUACAGAGGGCUGCCAACCCGCGAGGGGGAGCCAAUCCCAGAAAACCGGUCGUAGUCCGGAUCGCAGUCUGCAACUCGACUGCGUGAAGUCGGAAUCGCUAGUAAUCGCGGAUCAGCUUGCCGCGGUGAAUACGUUCCCGGGUCUUGUACACACCGCCCGUCACACCAUGGGAGCGGGUUCUGCCAGAAGUAGUUAGCCUAACCGCAAGGAGGGCGAUUACCACGGCAGGGUUCGUGACUGGGGUGAAGUCGUAACAAGGUAGCCGUAUCGGAAGGUGCGGCUGGAUCACCUCCUU